Long non-coding RNA from Magnolia sinica, 239 nucleotides. RefSeq lists it as uncharacterized. The transcript has 3 exons. The record is from RefSeq and is a predicted model, not a curated record. NCBI's taxonomy places the organism in Eukaryota, Viridiplantae, Streptophyta, Magnoliopsida, Magnoliales, Magnoliaceae.
GUAGGAAGGAAGAGGAGUGGAACGAGAAGAUCAUCAGAGGUCUGAUGAAACUGCCUCCGAAUCGGAGAUGCAUCAACUGCAAUAGCCUGGGGCCACAAUAUGUUUGUACGAAUUUCUGGACUUUCGUAUGUACAAUUUGUAGUGGAAUACAUCGUGAGUUUACUCACCGUGUGAAGUCUGUAUCAAUGGCUAAGUUCACUUCGCAAGAAGUUGAUGCUCUUCAAAGAGGUGGCAAUCAG